UCAAUCUAUUCACAUUUGUCUUCAUCUUCUUCGUUUUUCUUGACCUAACCACUAAUUUCUUUCCUAUCAUUUUUUUUGUUAAUCGUCACAACAAACUCAAUCAUAACAUCAAACUCAAUCUUCUUCAUCUCGGUUGAAAAAUCUUCAAAAAUUAAGUUUUGGGAGAAGGGCUAUGAGGCAUGUUGCUCAGACACCAAUUAACAGAGGAAGAACAUUCUACACUUACUCAAUCAAUAAGAUCAAGGAAGAAAGGGUGAGAUCCACCAAGGAAGAGAGAUUGAGAGACAUCAAAAUUCAGAUGUAGUGUUCAAGGUUGGAGUUAAUACCAAAAUUGUUUCUAUGACUUCUGAUUUAAAGAUGUUUAAAACACUUGUAACCGAUGCAUUUGUCAUGCAAAUGUUGCAUAUGGUUUGUUUUCAUAAGUCAUAAAUUGGGUUUAAUAGUUUGAGUAGUUUUUAAUAUGAGUAGUUUGUAAGGUGUUUUAUGUUUGUCAUGUGACUAAUUAUUUGAACUUAAUGUAUUUUGUGUUCUUUUAAGUGAAAUGAAA
Cicer arietinum (chickpea) is the source of this 547-nucleotide non-coding RNA. NCBI's taxonomy places the organism in Eukaryota, Viridiplantae, Streptophyta, Magnoliopsida, Fabales, Fabaceae. The record is from RefSeq and is a predicted model, not a curated record.